UUCAAAUCUGAAACUAUAUUUUCAGAUCUGAAAAAAAAUUAAAAAAAUACAGACAUAAAACACACACACACAACGCACACAUAUACAAAACACACACACACAUACACACACACACACACACACAUACAUUUCACCCACAGACCCACAUACAAAAUCACAAGAGAUCCAAGGAUCUAAAAAUCACAAGGGAAAUAUACAAAGAAAAAAAAUCACAAGACAAAUCUAAAGACCCACAUACGAAAUCACAAGAGACGGAUCUAAAGGAAAAAAAACACAAGAAAGAAAGAGAGGUAGUGAGAGAGAGAAUAUUUCACACACAAAUACAAAACACACACACAGACCCACAUAUCUAUAGAUAUAUGAUAAAGUGAUUUGUUGGGAGGUUUGACGGCAGAACCCUAGGCGACGGUUGUGAUCGGUGGUGGGUUGAGUCGAUAAUGGCGGUGGUGUGAAAAAAAGGGAGGAGGGUGGCGGCGCUGGUGUAAAUCUCGAAGGAGAACGGCGGCCCUGGUGUAAAUCUCGAAGGAGAACGGCGGCCCUGGUGUAGAUUU
This 551-nucleotide long non-coding RNA is filed under the name Erythranthe guttata (spotted monkey flower). RNAcentral describes it as "long non-coding RNA (EGUT_LNC001551)". Lineage: Eukaryota; Viridiplantae; Streptophyta; Magnoliopsida; Lamiales; Phrymaceae. The record is from RNAcentral.